CGGCGUGGCCUAAUACAAUGCAAGUCGAACGGUCUUUCUAUGGAAGCUUGCUUCCACUGAGAAGAUAGUGGCGAACGGGUGAGUAACACGUGGGUAACCUGCCCAUAAGAGGGGGAUAACAUCCGGAAAACGGGUGCUAAUACCGCAUAGUUUUCUUGAUCGCAUGAUUGGGAAAGGAAAGACGGCCUUUGUGCUGUCGCUUAUGGAUGGACCCGCGGCGUAUUAGUUAGUUGGUGAGGUAACGGCUCACCAAGACGAUGAUACGUAGCCGACCUGAGAGGGUGAUCGGCCACAUUGGGACUGAGACACGGCCCAAACUCCUACGGGAGGCAGCAGUAGGGAAUCUUCCGCAAUGGACGAAAGUCUGACGGAGCAACGCCGCGUGAGUGAAGUAAAAGGGUUUUCGGAUACGUAAAACUCUGUUGUCAGAGAAGAACAAGUUGGAGAGUAACUGCUCCAGCCUUGGACGGUAUCUGACCAAGAAAGCCACGGCUAACUACGUGCCAGCAGCCGC
This 514-nucleotide ribosomal RNA is filed under the name uncultured bacterium. RNAcentral's name for it is "bacterial SSU rRNA". It matches the Rfam family "Bacterial small subunit ribosomal RNA", at positions 40 to 518 of the family's 1533-position model. The record is from RNAcentral.